This 497-nucleotide ribosomal RNA is filed under the name uncultured bacterium. RNAcentral describes it as "partial 16S ribosomal RNA". It matches the Rfam family "Bacterial small subunit ribosomal RNA", at positions 28 to 507 of the family's 1533-position model. The record is from RNAcentral.
GAUGAACGCUGGCGGCGUGCCUAAUACAUGCAAGUCGAGCGAACGGACGAGAAGCUUGCUUCUCUGAUGUUAGCGGCGGAAGGGUGAGUAAAACGUGGAUAACCUACCUAUAAGACUGGGAUAACUUCGGGAAACCGGAGCUAAUACCGGAUAAUAUCUUGAACCGCAUGGUUCAAAAGUGAAAGACGGUCUUGCUGUCACUUAUAGAUGGAUCCGCGCUGCAUUAGCUAGUUGGUAAGGUAACGGCUUACCAAGGCAACGAUGCAUAGCCGACCUGAGAGGGGGAUCUGCCACACUGGAACUGAGACACGGUCCAGACUCCUACGGGAGGCAGCAGUAGGGAAUCUUCCGCAAGGGGCGAAAGCCUGACGGUGCAACGCCGCGUGAGUGAUGAAGGGCUUCGGAUCGUAAAACUCUGUUAUUAGGGAAGAACAUAUGUGUAAGUAACUGUGCACAUCGUGACGGUACCUAAUCAGAAAGCCACGGCUAACUACGUG